RNAcentral lists this ribosomal RNA (253 nucleotides) under uncultured bacterium. Its description in RNAcentral is "partial 16S ribosomal RNA". It matches the Rfam family "Bacterial small subunit ribosomal RNA", at positions 524 to 776 of the family's 1533-position model. The record is from RNAcentral.
UACGGAGGAUGCAAGCGCUAUCCGGAAUUAUUGGGCGUAAAGCGUCCGUAGGUGGCAUUUCAAGUCUGCCGUUAAAGCCCGAAGCUUAACUUUGGAAAAGCGGUGGAAACUGAGAAGCUAGAGUGCGGUAGGGGUAGAGGGAAUUCCCAGUGCAGCGGUGAAAUGCGUAGAGAUUGGGAAGAACACCGGUGGCGAAAGCGCUCUACUGGGCCGCAACUGACCCUGAUGGACGAAAGCUAGGGGAGCGAAAGGG